UACGUAGGGUGCGAGCGUUAUUCGGAAUUACUGGGCGUAAAGCGUGCGCAGGCGGCGCGUUAAGACAGGUGUGAAAGCCCCGAGCUUAACUUGGGAAUUGCGCUUGUGACUGGCGUGCUGGAGUGUGGCAGAGGGAGGUGGAAUUCCACGUGUAGCAGUGAAAUGCGUAGAGAUGUGGAGGAACACCGAUGGCGAAGGCAGCCUCCUGGGCCAGCACUGACGCUGAGGCGCGAAAGCGUGGGUAGCAAACGGG
This 253-nucleotide ribosomal RNA is filed under the name uncultured bacterium. RNAcentral describes it as "partial 16S ribosomal RNA". It matches the Rfam family "Bacterial small subunit ribosomal RNA", at positions 524 to 776 of the family's 1533-position model. The record is from RNAcentral.